This 492-nucleotide ribosomal RNA is filed under the name uncultured bacterium. RNAcentral's name for it is "partial 16S ribosomal RNA". It matches the Rfam family "Bacterial small subunit ribosomal RNA", at positions 29 to 507 of the family's 1533-position model. The record is from RNAcentral.
AGUGAACGCUGGCGGAAGGCCUAACACAUGCAAGUCGAACGGCAGCACAGUAAGAGCUUGCUCUUACGGGUGGCGAGUGGCGGACGGGUGAGGAAUACAUCGGAAUCUACUUUUUCGUGGGGGAUAACGUAGGGAAACUUACGCUACUACCGCAUACGACCUACGGGUGAAAGCAGGGGAUCUUCGGACCUUGCGCGAUUGAAUGAGCCGAUGUCGGAUUAGCUAGUUGGCGGGGUAAAGGCCCACCAAGGCGACGAUCCGUAGCUGGUCUGAGAGGAUGAUCAGCCACACUGGAACUGAGACACGGUCCAGACUCCUACGGGAGGCAGCAGUGGGGAAUAUUGGACAAAGGGCGCAAGCCUGAUGCAGCCAUACCGCGUGGGUGAAGAAGGCCUUCGGGUUGUAAAGCCCUGUUGUUGGGAAAGAAAAGCAGCAGGUUAAUACCCCGCUGUUCUGACGGUGCCCAAAGAAUAAGCACCGGCUAACUUCGUG